Long non-coding RNA from Lycium ferocissimum, 589 nucleotides. RefSeq lists it as uncharacterized. Lineage: Eukaryota; Viridiplantae; Streptophyta; Magnoliopsida; Solanales; Solanaceae. The transcript is spliced from 3 exons. The record is from RefSeq and is a predicted model, not a curated record.
ACACUAGGAAGACUCCAGGGUGAGACUCUAUAUAACUCUAAACUCUCUCUAUCGUUGAAUUAAGUAUCGGUUAAAAAUCAAAAUUAAGUAGUUGAACUGAAAAUUAAAAAAUUAAUGCAUCUUGCUAACAAAUCUCAGUAAAUUCUUCCAUUACCAAAAACCAUCUCUCUCUCUCUCAUGGGCUUUCUUGUCUUUUUACCCAAAUUCCCCAAUUUUUCCCUCCGAAAUUCUCAACCCUAACAUUCUGUUCCUCAAACUCAAGCUCUGAAGACAAAUUUCAUGUGAUUGAAGAUGGAUUAAAAGUCGACAGGAAGUCUCAACUUAAAAUUCAUUUUUACCCAUGGUCUAUUGAAGAUUGUACAUGCAUGAAACUUAGAAGAUGGAAAGCAUGAUUGCGGAUAAGUUUGACAUUUUUGAAGCUCUACAAGUUUAUAGAUUACGAUUACGCCACAAGAUUUGAAAAUGGUGCUGAGAAUGCACCAAAAAUUGGUCAAUUUAGUGCUUAAAAUGGUGCAGAAAUUGUGGUGAUAUUAUGCUGGAUGGCUGUUGAAAAUGGUCUAAAAUGGGGCUGAAAAUGGUAUAAUUUAUA